RNAcentral lists this transfer RNA (87 nucleotides) under Treponema sp. RNAcentral's name for it is "tRNA-Ser". It matches the Rfam family "tRNA". From Rfam's summary of the family: Transfer RNA (tRNA) molecules are approximately 80 nucleotides in length. The record is from RNAcentral. Lineage: Bacteria; Pseudomonadati; Spirochaetota; Spirochaetia; Treponematales; Treponemataceae.
GGAGAGAUGCGAGAGCGGUUGAAUCGGGCGGUCUCGAAAACCGUUGAGCCCUCAGGGGUUCCGAGGGUUCGAAUCCCUCUCUCUCCG